UACGAAGGGGGCAAGCAUUGUUCGGAUUUACUGGGCGUAAAGCGUCCGCAGGUGGCUUCGCAAGUCAGAAGUGAAAGCCCAGGGCUCAACCCUGGAAUUGCUUUUGAAACUGCAAAGCUAGAGUAUUGGAGAGGUUGGCAGAAUUCUCAGUGUAGAGGUGAAAUUCGCAGAUAUUGAGAGGAAUACCGAUGGCGCAGGCAGCCAACUGGACAAUAACUGACACUCAUGGACGAAAGCGUGGGGAUCAAACAGG
RNAcentral lists this ribosomal RNA (253 nucleotides) under bacterium. Its description in RNAcentral is "partial 16S ribosomal RNA". It matches the Rfam family "Bacterial small subunit ribosomal RNA", at positions 524 to 776 of the family's 1533-position model. The record is from RNAcentral. RNAcentral also lists the same sequence under 1 other name.